GAGCGGUAUUGUUUCUUCGGAAACGAGAGAGCGGCGCACGGGUGCGGAACACGUGUGCAGCCUGCCUUUAUCUGGGGGAUAGCCUUUCGAAAGGAAGAUUAAUACCCCAUAAUAUUUUGAAUGGCAUCAUUUAAAAUUGAAAACUCCGGUGGAUAGAGAUGGGCACGCGCAAGAUUAGAUAGUUGGUAGGGUAACGGCCUACCAAGUCAGUGAUCUUUAGGGGGCCUGAGAGGGUGAUCCCCCACACUGGUACUGAGACACGGACCAGACUCCUACGGGAGGCAGCAGUGAGGAAUAUUGGACAAUGGGUGAGAGCCUGAUCCAGCCAUCCCGCGUGAAGGACGACGGCCCUAUGGGUUGUAAACUUCUUUUGUACAGGGAUAAACCUUUCCACGUGUGGAAAGCUGAAGGUACUGUACGAAUAAGCACCGGCUAACUCCGUG
This 443-nucleotide ribosomal RNA is filed under the name uncultured bacterium. RNAcentral's name for it is "bacterial SSU rRNA". It matches the Rfam family "Bacterial small subunit ribosomal RNA", at positions 64 to 507 of the family's 1533-position model. The record is from RNAcentral.